This 115-nucleotide ribosomal RNA is filed under the name Bacillus velezensis. The record is from RNAcentral. Lineage: Bacteria; Bacillati; Bacillota; Bacilli; Caryophanales; Bacillaceae.
UGGUGGCGAUAGCGAAGAGGUCACACCCGUUCCCAUGCCGAACACGGAAGUUAAGCUCUUCAGCGCCGAUCGUAGUCGGGGGUUUCCCCCUGUGAGAGUAGGACGCCGCCAAGCU